RNAcentral lists this ribosomal RNA (468 nucleotides) under uncultured bacterium. Its description in RNAcentral is "bacterial SSU rRNA". It matches the Rfam family "Bacterial small subunit ribosomal RNA", at positions 28 to 507 of the family's 1533-position model. The record is from RNAcentral.
GAUGAACGCUAGCUACAGGCUUAACACAUGCAAGUCGAGGGGUCUCGAGGGAGCUUGCUCUUGAGAGACGACCGGCGCACGGGUGAGUAACGCGUAUCCAACCUGCCCUUCAUAUUGGGAUAGCCUUCCGAAAGGGAGAUUAAUACCGAAUAACAUGAGAAGAUUGUAUGAACCUCUCAUGAAAGCUCCGGCGAUGAAGGAUGGGGAUGCGUUCCAUUAGGUAGUAGGCGGGGUAACGGCCCACCUAGCCAUCGAUGGAUAGGGGUUCUGAGAGGAAGGUCCCCCACACUGGAACUGAGACACGGUCCAGACUCCUACGGGAGGCAGCAGUGAGGAAUAUUGGUCAAUGGGCGUAAGCCUGAACCAGCCAAGUAGCGUGAAGGAUGACUGCCCUACGGGUUGUAAACUGUUGUCGCAAGGGAAGAAAAAAUGACGGUACCUUGUGAGAAAGCCACGGCUAACUACGUG